AUCAUGUCGAGAUCUGACCACACUACGAGUCUCUCUGCAGUAGUCAAUAUCAUGUUAAAGAAAGAUAAGGACGUCUAUCUGCUGGACUCCAUUGUGAAUGAACAGCGUAUCAAGUUAUCGCAACCUGCAGAGAUUCAGAUAUCAUCUCAUACGGCUCAGGAGUUCAUCACUUCAAGAACAAAGUAUACAGCAUUGGUCAGUCAGAACCUUGACACAAUCUGCUGGCUGACUUCACUUCACUCCACUCCACAUCUGACCUCACUUGAGACAUACCAGAUGAAGACGACUGGCUGCUCUCCCUCUUCCCUUUUAUGUCAAAGCUUUUGAGUCCGACUCGAACCCCAUCGUCGUGGUCAACUCCUCUCUGUGUCUCAAGUCUGCCGACGUACACGACGAGCUAAUUGGGAAAGCCCUCAACACAAAGAGCUCAAAGAACCACUUGGAGGAAAAUACUCAUUAUGAGUGUUUUUCUUCUGAAGGCCAAGAACAUUUA
RNAcentral lists this long non-coding RNA (493 nucleotides) under Danio rerio (zebrafish). RNAcentral's name for it is "lncRNA si:ch211-267k22.1 (ENSDARG00000092592.2)". The record is from RNAcentral. Lineage: Eukaryota; Metazoa; Chordata; Actinopteri; Cypriniformes; Danionidae.